GACGAACGCUGGCGGCGUGCUUAACACAUGCAAGUCGAACGGAAAGGCCCUGCUUUUGUGGGGUGCUCGAGUGGCGAACGGGUGAGUAACACGUGAGUAACCUGCCCUUGACUUUGGGAUAACUUCAGGAAACUGGGGCUAAUACCGGAUAGGAGCUCCUGCUGCAUGGUGGGGGUUGGAAAGUUUCGGCGGUUGGGGAUGGACUCGCGGCAUAUCAGCUUGUUGGUGGGGUAGUGGCUUACCAAGGCUUUGACGGGUAGCCGGCCUGGGAGGGGGGCCGGCCACAUUAGGACUGAGAUACGGCCCAGACUCCUACGGGAGGCAACGGUGGAGAAUAUUGCACAGUGGGCGGAAGCCUGAUGCAGCACCGCCGCGUGCGGGAUACCGGCCUUCGGGUUGUAAACCGCUUUCGCCUGUGACGAAGCGUGAGUGACGGUAAUGGGUAAAGAAGCACCGGCUAACUACGUG
This 468-nucleotide ribosomal RNA is filed under the name uncultured bacterium. Its description in RNAcentral is "partial 16S ribosomal RNA". It matches the Rfam family "Bacterial small subunit ribosomal RNA", at positions 28 to 507 of the family's 1533-position model. The record is from RNAcentral.